This 496-nucleotide ribosomal RNA is filed under the name uncultured bacterium. RNAcentral describes it as "partial 16S ribosomal RNA". It matches the Rfam family "Bacterial small subunit ribosomal RNA", at positions 28 to 507 of the family's 1533-position model. The record is from RNAcentral.
GACGAACGCUGGCGGCGUGCCUAAUACAUGCAAGUUGAGCGCUGAAGGUUGGUACUUGUACCGACUGGAUGAGCAGCGAACGGGUGAGUAACGCGUGGGGAAUCUGCCUUUGAGCGGGGACAACAUUUGGAAACGAAUGCUAAUACCGCAUAAAAACUUUAAACACAAGUUUUAAGUUUGAAAGAUGCAAUUGCAUCACUCAAAGAUGAUCCCGCGUUGUAUUAGCUAGUUGGUGAGGUAAAGGCUCACCAAGGCGAUGAUACAUAGCCGACCUGAGAGGGUGAUCGGCCACAUUGGGACUGAGACACGGCCCAAACUCCUACGGGAGGCAGCAGUAGGGAAUCUUCGGCAAUGGACGAAAGUCUGACCGAGCAACGCCGCGGGAGUGAAGAAGGGUUUCGGAUCGUAAAACUCGGUUGGUAGAGAAGAACGUUGGUGAGAGUGGAAAGCUCAUCAAGUGACGGUAACUACCCAGAAAGGGACGGCUAACUACGUG